GGAUUAGAUACCCGGGUAGUCCACGCCCUAAACGAUGUCAACUAGUUGUUGGGUCUUCAUUGACUUAGUAACGUAGCUAACGCGUGAAGUUGACCGCCUGGGGAGUACGGUCGCAAGAUUAAAACUCAAAGGAAUUGACGGGGACCCGCACAAGCGGUGGAUGAUGUGGAUUAAUUCGAUGCAACGCGAAAAACCUUACCUACCCUUGACAUGGUCGGAACCUCGCUGAAAGGUAGGGGGUGGCUCGAAAGAAGAACCGAUACACAGGUGCUGCAUGGCUGUCGUCAGCUCGUGUCGUGAGA
RNAcentral lists this ribosomal RNA (302 nucleotides) under uncultured bacterium. Its description in RNAcentral is "bacterial SSU rRNA". It matches the Rfam family "Bacterial small subunit ribosomal RNA", at positions 775 to 1072 of the family's 1533-position model. The record is from RNAcentral.